AGCGAGCGGCUGGCUGUUGGGUUGGGCCGCCCACGGCCAGCUCGCCCGGGCCAGUCACCUCCCGAGGUGCGAAACGUUUUUCUUUUUCUUUUCUCACCCUCCCCACAGGAACAGAAAGCUACCCAAUCCUCACCCCCCGACAGAGAAGGCAGCGGCGGCGCGCGUCGAGCUAGCACCGAGCGAUUCUCCUGGUGGCACCAAGCCGGCCAAGAUAACAAGCUAGCAGCCCCCUUUCUCUCCCUCAAAAAUCAGAGUGAGCAUGGUUCAUGCAUUUGAUUGUGCUCCCAGCUGAGGCUGCUGGGUCACCUGCCGGAACGCCGCCUGGAAAAAUGGCGUCCACCCUUCUCCCGACCUUAUUGCCGCCAGUUUCACGUGCCGCCGCCUUCCUCCUCCGAACCCCACCAAAACCCUUCCGCUAUCACCAUUCGCUUUUCCGCAGCCUCCUCGCGUCAGCUUCUUCCCCAUCAACCUCUCCUACUCCCCGCGCCCUCGUCACCAUGGCCUGUGCAGCUAUCCCCACCCGCCGGGAUCUCCUCAUGCUCGGCAUCGAGACCAGUUGCGACGACACUGCCGCAGCCGUGGUUAGAGGCGAUGGAGAGAUCCUUAGCCAAGCGAUUGCUUCCCAAUCAGAUUUGCUUGUGAAAUGGGGUGGUGUCGCUCCUAAGAUGGCUGAAGAAGCUCAUGCUCUUGCAAUUGAUCAGGUUGUUCAGAAAGCACUCGAUGACGCAAAUGUGUCCGAGAGUGAUCUUUCUGCUGUGGCCGUGACCAUUGGACCAGGACUUAGUCUAUGCCUUAGAGUUGGUGUUCACAAAGCUCGGAAAAUAGCAAAAGUAUUUGGCUUGCCUAUUGUUGGAGUUCACCAUAUGGAGGCACAUGCAUUAGUUUCCAGGCUAGUGAAUAAGGACCUUGAUUACCCAUUUUUAGCUCUUCUAAUUUCAGGAGGACACAAUCUUCUUGUUCUCGCUCAGAACCUUGGUGAGUAUGUUCAACUGGGAACUACAAUAGAUGAUGCAAUUGGUGAGGCAUAUGACAAGUCAGCAAGAUGGCUGGGUCUUGAUAUACAGAAAGGUGGUGGUCCUGCUCUUGAAGAGCUUGCCCUAGAAGGUGAUCCAAAUUCUAUUAAUUUCACAGUUCCGAUGCGACAACACAAAGAUUGCAAUUUCUCUUAUGCUGGUCUGAAGACUCCAGUUCGAUUGGCUAUUGAAUCCAGAAAUCUGUGCACAGAUGAUAUCCCCAUUUCUUCUGCAACAGAAGAAGACAGACAACUAAGGGCGAACAUUGCUGCCUCUUUUCAGCGGAUUGCUGUUCUACAUUUGGAGGAUAGAUGUCAGCGAGCAGUUGAAUGGGCAUUGAAGAUGAGACCUUCAAUUAAAAACUUUGUUGUUUCAGGUGGUGUUGCUUCUAACCAGUAUGUUAGGACCCGCUUGAAUCAUAUUGCUGAGAAGAAUGGCCUACAGCUCGUAUCCCCUCCCCCAAGUCUUUGUACUGACAAUGGUGUCAUGAUUGCUUGGACUGGAAUCGAGCACUUUGUUCCCGGUAGAUUUGAAGAUCCACCUCCCGCUGAUGAGCCUGAUGAUAUGCAGGUAACCUAACCAAGCGUAUGACUUGCGUCCAAGAUGGCCACUUGGUGAGGAAUAUUCAGAAGGAAGAAGUGUUUCACGAUCACUGAAAACGGCCAGGAUCCAUCCAUCACUUACAUCCAUGACACAGAGCUCUCUCCACAACUAGUAUGUGUUGAUAUUCUGGAUCAGAAUACAAUUACAUCUCACAAGGAACUGCAUAUCAACAUGUCACAAGAAGAACCGUCUACAUAGAAGGCGCCCAAACCUUGGGCAACUUGUUAAGUCCUACUUACAUGCACAUGGAAGUUUGAGUAGAACGCUUACCUGAUGAUCCUGCAGGAUUGCAUUGCCUGCUAUCGGUCUGAAGCUUCUUGCAUCUUGAUUCAUAUUCUGCUAGAAAUAUUCUUGUAGAAAGUGCUCAGGUUCUAAAUAAAAAGUGAGCAUUGCGAGACAUGAAAGGGUGGAAGUACAGCAGCAUCCUUGUCAACUUGUUUUUUCAGCUGUCCUGAUGAGUCAGAUCAUUCAUGAUGGAAGCGCUAUUUUUCUUCAUUGUUUUUUUUUUGAUAGGCAAGCUGUUCAAGACUGGGUGCUUUUUCCACACCCUAUUAUAGGCAAAUCGUCCACAUUGCGUUGCUUUUUUGUCAAAAGAGAACUGAAAAUCAAAGCCAUAUUGUUUCUGUGUUUUUGAGUCAAUACUAACCACCAUGCCCGUGUCAA
Aegilops tauschii subsp. strangulata is the source of this 2279-nucleotide RNA transcript. It is a transcript of the gene named probable tRNA N6-adenosine threonylcarbamoyltransferase, mitochondrial, with no coding region annotated. The record is from RefSeq and is a predicted model, not a curated record. Lineage: Eukaryota; Viridiplantae; Streptophyta; Magnoliopsida; Poales; Poaceae.